Armigeres subalbatus is the source of this 1899-nucleotide long non-coding RNA. RefSeq lists it as uncharacterized. Lineage: Eukaryota; Metazoa; Arthropoda; Insecta; Diptera; Culicidae. The transcript has 3 exons. The record is from RefSeq and is a predicted model, not a curated record.
UUCAAAAUGAGCGGGGUAAUGUUUUGCUCCGUUGCUCAAACUGCUCGAUUAUGCGUGGCCACUCACAACUGACAGUUUUGACAUUUAUACGCUCUAUCACACCACCCAUGUCAUUGAUGAAGCGAUGCUCAUAGUUGAAUAACUUUCCAAAAGGGUGUAUUGGGUCGAAAUUGGGAUAAUGAAUUCGGGAAAUGGAACUUGUGGUGGAGCUACAAGUAGGAUUUGUAACCGACGGUUACAAUACCCCAUCGUCCCUCCUUCCAAAAUGAUUGAAUUUUCAUUAGAGUAAAUUUUAUUUACGGGUUUUAGCAUUUUAUGCACAUCAUUAGCCCUUUGCUAAUCUUAAAUCUUCAUCACUCAUGCGAGGAAGGGAAGAUACAACAUGGUAACUCAGUUCUGCCUUUGGAACUGUCAAACCAUUGACUAAUAAACCAAUGUUUACCUUUCGACGCGAGUCAAAACAAAACGAUUUCGCGAUUCUCCGUUUUUCCCAAGUGAAUCUUACACCAAUCUCGCGUUAUGACGAUUUUCCGCGGGUUAACCGGUUUCGCGAACCGAAAACUACUCGGUCGGGUUCCCAUUUGGCGGUAAAUGGGAACCGUGAGAAAUUGAUUUCCUUUUCGCGGCGGAGGAUAAUUGGUAUUCACCUGCAUCUCAACCUCAUUCAUCAACAUCCGCGUCCGGACAUCUGAAUGAUUCGGAAUUUCGAUCGUCCGCCGAAUAUUUGGGACGGGAUUGCCGGCAGCGCCAGUUCUCCUCGAACUGGUCCCGUUAGAAGAAGAUGGGAAUCAUUACCAGCAGAGCACACAUCCUGUGGAAAGGAUGGGUCCGCUACAAAUUUGAUCGGAUUGUUUCAUCCGGAUUAACCCUCAGGUGGUGACCCGAGAAAAAUACUUUUUAAUACUCUCGCUGUAUUUCAGGAGAAAAAAAUAAAAGUCAUUGUAGGUUGUUUUCAUACUUUUUUCAGGAAAAUGUCCUUAGUCUGAAUGUCGUCGCGUCCGGUAAAUGCGUUGUUAUUUGUCAACAUGAUAAAUGUAAACGAAUGAAAUAGUCGAAAUAGGUGCCACUGAUUACGGGCGUGGAAUUUACACGGGUUCGGAAAUACUUUUAACGAGCUAACUACUUGAUCUGUCGAUGGAACUAAAACGAACGAGAAAACGUCCGCGAUCAAUCGUCAUUAGUGCUGCCGUUUUGGCGCAUAUUUCGCGUUUGUUUACCGCCGUAGACAAUAUCGAUCGUUUUAAUCGCGCUAUUGGUUUACUUUCACGUCGAGUUCCGCGCCGUAUGAGCUUUUUAUCGGGUUUGCUCAAUAUGCUAUUGAGAUUUCCCAUUGUGAAUGAAUAAUCAUCCGGCUGUUCUACGCGAAUGAAUGAAAAUCUAAUUAAGUACGCAAUACACUAUCGUUUAAUGGACCGCUAAUUGAAAUAUCCUAAAAUUUGUUCAAGCGUUUCCUAAUUUAUUAAACUGCGCUUUGAAACGCAUUUGGGGAAUAAAUGUCUGAGAAAUUUAUCACUUUUCAAAACAACUGUUCCAAAAGAACCUUCGUUUGGAGAACGAAGCAAGUUACCAAAAACAAAUAGGGCUUUGUUUUUCUCGUCCCCACCGGGGGAAAUGAAAAUUCAAAAUCAUUUUGGUUUAGUCAGGCGCCAAUUGAAACUCGCCAGCUCAGGGACGUUGUGUUUGGAAUCUACAGGGUCGUUAUUUCUAUGAUUUUGAGCAUAAACAUCGCCACUUGUCGGCAGGGGGUACACAUACUAGGCAGGAACAGUACUUACUUUGACUUUGGAUCGAACACUGGUUGAUUAUGAAUAGGGCUAUGAACCAACGAUGAAACCUAGAAGGGGGGGGGGUCUAAAUGCAAAGUCUGAUUCACUUGCGAAUCACAAGGACGUCGAGGCU